AGAGUUUGAUCCUGGCUCAGAUUGAACGCUGGCGGCGUGCCUAACACAUGCAAGUCGAGCGGCAGCGCGGUAGCAAUACUGGCGGCGAGCGGCGAACGGGUGAGUAAUACUUUGGAAUCUUCCCAGUAGUGGGGAAUAACCAGUCGAAAGAUUGGCUAAUACCGCAUACGUCUGAAAAGGGAAAGCGGGGGCUCGUAAGACCUCGCGCUAUUGGAUGAGCCAAAGUCGGAUUAGCUAGUUGGUGGGGUAAUGGCCUACCAAGGCGACAAUCCGUAGCUGGUCUGAGAGGACGACCAGCCACACCGGAACUGAGACACGGUCCGGACUCCUACGGGAGGCAGCAGUGGGGAAUAUUGGACAAUGGGGGAAACCCUGAUCCAGCGACGCCGCGUGUGUGAAGAAGGCCUGCGGGUUGUAAAGCACUUUUAGUGGGGACAAAAAGCUACGGAUUAAUACUUCGUGGUCUUGAUUUAACCCAAAGAAAAAGCACCGGCUAACACUGUGCCAGCAGCCGCGGUAAUACAGAGGGUGCGAGCGUUAAUCGGAAUUACUGGGCGUAAAGCGCGCGUAGACGGUUUGUAAGUCAGAUGUGAAAUCCCUGGGCUCAACCUGGGAACUGCAUUUGAGACUGCAUGGCUAGAGUAUGGAAGAGGGAAGUGGAAUUUCCGGUGUAGCGGUGAAAUGCGUAGAUAUCGGAAGGAACACCAGUGGCGAAAGCGACUUCCUGGUCCAAUACUGACGUUCAUGUGCGAAAGCGUGGGGAGCAAACAGGAUUAGAUACCCUGGUAGUCC
This 792-nucleotide ribosomal RNA is filed under the name uncultured bacterium. RNAcentral describes it as "bacterial SSU rRNA". It matches the Rfam family "Bacterial small subunit ribosomal RNA", at positions 8 to 796 of the family's 1533-position model. The record is from RNAcentral.